RNAcentral lists this ribosomal RNA (380 nucleotides) under uncultured eukaryote. RNAcentral describes it as "partial 18S ribosomal RNA". It matches the Rfam family "Eukaryotic small subunit ribosomal RNA", at positions 592 to 976 of the family's 1831-position model. The record is from RNAcentral.
CAAUAGCGUAUAUUAAAGUUGUUGCGGUUAAAAAGCUCGUAAUUGGAUUUCUGCUGAGAACGACCGGUCCGCCCUUUGGGUGUGUAUCUGGCUCUUUCUUGGCAUCUUCUUGGUGAACGUUGCUGCACUUGACUGUGUGGAGCGCUACCCAGGACUUUUACUUUGAGGAAAUUAGAAUGUUUCAAGCAGGCAUACGCCUUGAAUACAUCAGCAUGGAAUAAUAAGAUAGGACCUCGGUUCUAUUUUGUUGGUUUCUAGAGCUGAGGUAAUGAUUAAUAGGGAUAGUUGGGGGCAUUCGUAUUUAACUGUCAGAAGUGAAAUUCUUGGAUUUGUUAAAGACGGACUACUGCGAAAGCAUUUGCCAAGGAUGUUUUCAUUGA